GAUGAAGAACGCAGCGAAAUGCGAUAAGUAGUGUGAAUUGCAGAAUUCAGUGAAUCAUCGAAUCUUUGAACGCACAUUGCGCCCGCCAGUAUUCUGGCGGGCAUGCCUGUUCGAGCGUCAUUUCAACCAUCAAGCCCCCGGCUUGUGUUGGGGACCUGCGGCUGCCGCAGGCCCUGAAAACCAGUGGCGGGCUCGCUAGUCACUCCGAGCGUAGUAAUACAUCUCGCUCAGGGCGUGCUACGGGUUCCGGCCGUUAAAAAGCCUUAUUUACCCAAGGUUGACCUCGGAUCAGGUAGGAAGACCCGCUGAACUUAAGCAUAUCAAUAAGCGGAGGA
This 335-nucleotide unclassified non-coding RNA is filed under the name soil metagenome. RNAcentral's name for it is "partial contains 5.8S ribosomal RNA, internal transcribed spacer 2, and large subunit ribosomal RNA". The stretch from base 1 to 120 matches the Rfam family "5.8S ribosomal RNA", at positions 35 to 154 of the family's 154-position model. The record is from RNAcentral.